GUCGAACGGCAGCACGGAGCUUGCUCUGGUGGCGAGUGGCGAACGGGUGCGUAAUAUAUCGGAACGUACCCAAGAGUGGGGGAUAACGUAUCGAAAGUUACGCUAAUACCGCAUACGAUCUAWGGAUGAAAGCAGGGGACCUUCRGGCCUUGUGCUCCUGGAGCGGCCGAUAUCUGAUUAGCUAGUUGGUGGGGUAAAGGCCCACCAAGGCAACGAUCAGUAGCUGGUCUGAGAGGACGACCAGCCACACUGGAACUGAGACACGGUCCAGACUCCUACGGGAGGCAGCAGUGGGGAAUUUUGGACAAUGGGGGCAACCCUGAUCCAGCAAUGCCGCGUGAGUGAAGAAGGCCUUCGGGUUGUAAAGCUCUUUUGUCAGGGAAGAAAAGGGAUUGGCUAAUAUCCAGUCCUCAUGACGGUACCUGAAGAAUAAGCACCGGCUAACUACGUGCCAGCAGCCGCGGUAAUACGUAGGGUGCAAGCGUUAAUCGGAAUUACUGGGCGUAAAGCGUGCGCAGGCGGUUUUGUAAGACUGUCGUGAAAUCCCCGGGCUCAACCUGGGAAUGGCGAUGGUGACUGCAAGGCUAGAGUUUGGCAGAGGGGGGUAGAAUUCCACGUGUAGCAGUGAAAUGCGUAGAUAUGUGGAGGAACACCGAUGGCGAAGGCAGCCCCCUGGGUCAAAACUGACGCUCAUGCACGAAAGCGUGGGGAGCAAACAGGAUUAGAUACCCUGGUAGUCCACGCCCUAAACGAUGUCUACUAGUUGUCGGGUCUUAAUUGACUUGGUAACGCAGCUAACGCG
This 802-nucleotide ribosomal RNA is filed under the name Duganella sp. RCP6. RNAcentral describes it as "bacterial SSU rRNA". It matches the Rfam family "Bacterial small subunit ribosomal RNA", at positions 61 to 859 of the family's 1533-position model. Lineage: Bacteria; Pseudomonadati; Pseudomonadota; Betaproteobacteria; Burkholderiales; Oxalobacteraceae. The record is from RNAcentral.